UCAUAAAUAUUCUUUACUGCCAUAGAUGUCGUAAGGGAAAAUAAUGAGAUUACCUUACUAUGAGUGUCGUCCAAAGCUGGUGCCAGAAGACUCGGUAAGACCAGAGACGCAAACGUUAAUCAUCUUAAACAGGCGUAAAGGGUUUGUAGGCAGCUUUCAUAAUAUUAUUUCUUACAAAAAUAAAGAAGUGGUCUGAUUGAAAGCUAGAAUCAAAAAGAGGUUAUAGUGUAUAACGCCUAGAGGAGGGCUGAUAUCCUUAGAUCCUAGGCAGAAUACUUAGGGCGAAGGCCACUCUCCACUAAUGAUUGACGCUGAGAAACGAAGGUAAGGGUAGGAAAUAGGAUUAGAUACCCCGGUACUCCUUUCUGUAAACGAUGAAUGGUAGUCAUUAGUAAAAUUAAAAAUUACUAGAGACGAAGUUAACACAAUAACCAUUCCGCCUUGUGAGUACUACUGCAAAGUAGAAAACAAAAAAAUUAGUCGGUCUCGAAGCAAACGGAGUGAAGCAUGUUAUUUA
RNAcentral lists this ribosomal RNA (517 nucleotides) under Sanguinoderma longistipitum. RNAcentral describes it as "SSU rRNA". It matches the Rfam family "Bacterial small subunit ribosomal RNA", at positions 406 to 948 of the family's 1533-position model. The record is from RNAcentral. Lineage: Eukaryota; Fungi; Basidiomycota; Agaricomycetes; Polyporales; Polyporaceae.